Long non-coding RNA from Mustela lutreola (European mink), 3477 nucleotides. RefSeq lists it as uncharacterized. The transcript has 4 exons. NCBI's taxonomy places the organism in Eukaryota, Metazoa, Chordata, Mammalia, Carnivora, Mustelidae. The record is from RefSeq and is a predicted model, not a curated record.
CCUCCCUGUGGGUCCAGGCUCUGUCCUUGGAGGUAGUGGGUGGGGAACGGAAGACCUAAGUUUCCUUGAGAAAGUUCAAGUUCAGAGAAGCCAACCGCUUGAAUGUGGGGUGUAAUCAAAACGCCCCUCAAUUUUUGCCGCUCACUGUCCCCGGGCGCAGCUCGGGCAGGGAGACACGCCUUUUCUGUUCAGGCUCAGGUAAGGUCACACAGCACAAGCAGGGGGAGCUGCCGGCAGAGGGAGAAGCAGGCUCCCUGCUGAGCAGGGAUUCCAACACGGGACUCCAUCCCAGGACCCUGGAAUCACGACCUGAGCUGAAGGCAGACUGUCAACCGACUGAGCCACCCAGGCACCCUGAAAAGGGCAAUUCUUACGUCACCACAGAUUUGCCCGCUCUCUGGGCCCAGCAGAUGGUGAAAACUGUCUCCUGGGCCACCUCCCGCUCUCCCAGGUUCUUCAGAGACUCCCAUCUUCGAGGCUCUGUCCUGAGGGUCCCAUCUUCAUUUCCUUUCCGGGAAGAGAGACAGAGAGCAGACAGACACAAGGAGAAGGCCCUGUGAAGACAGAGGCAGAGUUUGGAGUCAUGUGACCACAAGCCAAGGAACAUCCGGGAAAGCUGGAAGACACCAGAAAGGAUUCUCCCCUAGGUCCUUUGGUGGGAGAGCUAGAACUAGGAUCUGGACUCCUCACUUCUCGUCUUGGAUCGUGCUUCCUGCCGAUACCCUGAUCUCACACUUCCAGCUUCCAGAAUGUGAGAGAGCAAGCAGGCCGCCAUGACAUGAGGAUCCUCAGGCAGACCUAUGGAGAGGCCCACAUGGCAAGGAGCCAAGGACCUGGUCAACAGCCCACGCCAUCUUGCCACACUAUGAGUGAGUAGCCUCAGAAGCAGAUCCCACAGCCUCAGGCGGGCCUUCAGAUGGCUGCAAACCCAGCUGAUAUUUGGGUAUUGCCCCCUAAAAGGCACAGAGCCAGAACACCCAGGGAAGCCAUUCCCCCAUUCCUGGCUCCCAGAAACUGUGAGAGGACUAAUGCUUAUUAUUAUUUUAAGCUACCAACAACUGAAGUAAUCCAUUAGGCAGCAACAGAUAACUAAGACUGAUGUCUAUUGUACUGGGGCCUUGGGAUAACCGGAAACAGGAAGGGUGGCACCGUGGAAACCUCCUACAUCACUUGGAACUGUCAGGGGCCCCAGAACCAUUCUCUUCAGGGAUGUUUCAUGCUGUGGGCUCCUCCACCAUUUGUGGAUAGGUGUCCCAGUCAUUCCUUUAUGGAUGAACACCUUCCGUGUGCUGGACACCGUGUUAGGGGCUGGGGCUGUAGGUGUGAACAGACUUGUUCACGGCCAGCCGCCAUGAUGGCCAUCCCUCUGCUGACUAGGCAGCUAUGGGCAAAAAAGACGGCCCUCCUCUGCAGAGGCCCGAGAAGGAGGGAGCCUGGGGACACUAGGGGGAGGAGCCUUCAGCACUGAGAUCCUGCAAAGGCAGGAAGAGUGCGAAGUUCCAGGGUCCACAGUGCUCCUAGCUGCUGACUCUUCAUCUGAAAGAUGGGGAUAAGAGCCCAUGCCCCCUUGGGUUGUCAGGAAGAUUAGAUAAUACAUGGAAUUCAUGGGAAGAGUAAACAGCCCACGGCACUUUUCUUGUCUGAAUAUUAUUAUUGACAGCACUGUCCCUCCACGGCCACCAGACUCUUCUAUCAGGUCAGUAUUUGAGAAGGGACAAAUUAAAAUGAAACAGAUGUAAAGUUGGAGGCUGAUGGAAAUUUGUGGCUGGAAGGCUGUUUUCUGUUUUUGGGAGGGAUUAUGUUCCAGCUCUAAGACAGCUCCCUGUGUAAGGUGAUGAGUGUGAUUAAUUGCAAUCAGCUCCUCUCCACAUAAUGAGGAAAGCUGGAUGUCACCCCAUGGCUUCCAUCCAGGUGAGUGCAGUUACCCAGUAUGUCCACAGGAUGUCGCUAACAAUCACUCUUCGACUACCUGCAGCCAAACCCAUCCGCUCAGGGCCUGGAACUCAAUAGCAGACCCCCAUUCAGGGGUUUAGCAAUCUUCAGCAACACCCUUUGAAACAGUUCUUUAAAUGGCAACGCAGUGUGAGUAGAAGCGGGGGAGGGGUGGUGGUGGCCAAGAGUGACUUGGCCUGGGGAACCCAGGUGGCUAGGUGUGGAGCUAGAAGAGGACCAGGGUCUCCUGUGUCCCAAUGAGGUGUGCUAACCGCACAUCUGUCCAGCGUGUGUAAGAGGCUGGUGGGGACAGGAACCUGGUUUCUGGGUCUCUAGGAUGGCCACCCCAGGGAAUGUGAUUUGAAGACAGGGGUUCAGGGGACCACUGGAGGGCCUCUGCUCCUUUCCCUUGAGCCCCAGGCCAGCUCUGCAGGCCCCCGAGGCUGCCUUCUGAUUUCUGCUUGUUGAAUGGCAGGAACAAUGGAAUUAGCAAUUCGUCCUUAGACUAGAAGGGGCUCACAAAGCCAGGUCCUCAGAAAAAUGCUUGCUCCUAGCCCCUGCUCCUGAGCAGAGGGGUCUUUCUAGUUCUUGGGGAGCCCAGGCAGUGUCUAACUCUGGCAUGAAGAGUCUCCCAGCCAACACAAAUGUCUCCACCCAGAGUCAUUGUCCAGAGCCUACUCUGACUGGAAGUGAAGCACCAGAGAGGCAAGAAUUCUGGCCCAGGUGCCUGAUUUGCACAAAGGGAAGGCCGUUCUCAGGGGCCAGAGCCUGUCUGUGGAGGGGCCACGGCGUGUACACAGCAGAUGCUCAGGAAGCUCCGUUCUCAUUUCUUUCUCGCUUCCUCGGAGCCUUCUAGAAGGGACCAGCCUAGCCCAUCCCAAGGCACUGCUCUUUCUUUUCCGAUGAUGAUGAUGAUGAUCAGGAGUGCUGUGAUUUCUUUCCCCUCCCUCUUCAUUUUGGCAGAAUCACCUCUCGGCAGAGGAGCCGUUUGCCCUGGGGCUCUAAUCCACAGCACCUGGAGGGCCUGCCUCUCAGCUCCUGCACCUGAGAAGCAAACAAUGCAGUAAAAAGCAGAGCAUUUCCUCCUCUGUGAAAUGGUAGCAGGAGAGAAGGAAGUGGGCCUCCGGCCACUGUGCAUUUGGGUUAGUGUCUAGCCACUGUGUAUUUGGACGGAGGAGGUCAGCAUCUGCACCCCUCCCGUGGUGGACCUGGUGUGGGUAGGACCACCCCCACCCCUACUCAGAGGCAGAGAGAAUAGGAGGGAAGGGAAUGCCCAGGACUAGGAAGUGUGGGGUUUUCUGGAGAGCUGUUGGAGGUAGGGACAGGGACUGGGAGAGAGAAACUCAGCCUGGGAUUGGUUUAUUUUUAUUGCUUUUUAAAAUCAUGUAAAUAAUCUACAUUCAUUGAAAAAAAAAUUAGAAAGCACAGAUAAGCCAAGAGAAGACAACAAAAGUCAUCUGUUAACAUCUUGGCAAAUAUCCCUUUUCUAUGCUUAGAUACAUAGACAAUACUUUUGUUUCAUCAAUAAAAUGUUUUCUUACUGUA